UGUUAUAACGACAGCGACUACUCGCGUAUAUAUAUACACACAGACGAUAAAGGGUCGGUGGUGUAACGUGGCGGUGGAAUCUGCAGUAAAACCGGCCGUCGUCUUCGAACUGGCCCCGUUGGCUCGUAAAAUUAAUGAAGCACGCAAUGACCCAUUAUAUAGAACGCGUUAUUACUGGCAGCAAAACGAAAUUGAGAUUAUUUACCGUAGAGUGUUGUUAUCUUAUGGACAAUAUUGUAUUGAUCCCAUCAACGUCACGUUAAAAUUAUAGAAGUCUACAAGAAUAUAUACAAAACUUUAUAUUGCAUUAACGCCGCCGUAUUUAAGUGGAGUAUCGUGGAAUCACAACACUCAAAAUAUUCAAGACUCUCGACACAAAAUAAUUAUGUUAACCAUGAUUAUCCACCGUUUGGCUUAAUCGAACGACAAAUAAAGGUUUAACCGCUCAUUUUAUUCCAUUACAAUGGCGCUCUUCUAAAUCUAAAAACAAUCGAUUGCAAACACCGGAAAACUACGUUUUCCGAAUAAACUUGUACACCAUAAAAGUUGUCAAUUUAUAUGUUCUUUGUCUCCGAAAGGUCCGAAGGUCUGCACAUAAAACGUAAACCUUUCGGUCUUCUCUGCGGCGUUGCGAUGGAGCGAAAAAACCACGAAAUACUAUGAGAUCCAGAAAGUUUGAAGGUCGACCAUGAUGUGUCACACACUCUAAAAUAAUUCUCUACUUUUUCUGAAACACUGGAAAACAGCACACGUAAAAAGUAAAUUACCGUGACAAUGACCAAUGGAAUAAUGAGUCAGUCAUUUCAUGAUUUUUAUCAGCAACAAAAAAUAUGUAUUAGAGUAUAAUUAUUUUACAAAAUAAAUAUUAUAUGAAUUGGGCUUCUACUAAAUUCAUUCACUCGAAUAAAAUACUAUAACUAUUAUUCAGUCAGUCAGGUAAUUAUGUACAAUUUAAUAUACUAUUGAUAUAAUGUUGUAAUAAUCUCAUGUAAACUGUUAAAAGAAGCAAUAAAAAUAACUCAUGAGAAAAAUUGAUUUGAUUUCGUUUUGUUUAUUAACUGCAUAAUAAUCAUUAUAAAUACUAUCGUUGAUAUAAUUAAAGUUGUGGAACCUUCGAAUUGCACACAGGAAAGGAAAUAGAA
Molecule: long non-coding RNA, 1142 nt
Organism: Aphis gossypii (cotton aphid)
Lineage: Eukaryota; Metazoa; Arthropoda; Insecta; Hemiptera; Aphididae
Exons: 4
Source: RefSeq, a predicted model, not a curated record